UUUUAUAUAGUUUAAAAAACAUUACAUUUUCACUGUAAAAUUAGAUCCUAUCUUAUAAAUA
RNAcentral lists this transfer RNA (61 nucleotides) under Trigonopterus singkawangensis. RNAcentral's name for it is "tRNA-Glu". The record is from RNAcentral. Lineage: Eukaryota; Metazoa; Arthropoda; Insecta; Coleoptera; Curculionidae.